RNAcentral lists this long non-coding RNA (4660 nucleotides) under Sus scrofa (pig). Its description in RNAcentral is "lncRNA (ENSSSCG00015009072.1)". Lineage: Eukaryota; Metazoa; Chordata; Mammalia; Artiodactyla; Suidae. The record is from RNAcentral.
GGGUCGAAUCAGAGCUGCAGCUGCUGGCCUACACCACAGCCGCAGCAACACAGGAUCUGAGCCCUGUCUGGACCCACACCACAGCUUGGGGCAAUGCCGGAUCCCUAACCCACUGAGUGAGGCCAGGGCUCGAACCCAGUUCCUCAUGGGCCCCUCAGUGGGUUCCUUACCACUGAGCCAUGAUGGAAACUCCCUACUGUUUUUUUGAAUAAAAGCCAUCUCUUUGAUCACAGCAGCUCCUAAAUUGAAGACUUUUACGACUGUCCUUGUUUCUGCCCAUCUCCCAUCUGGGGUUGGGUGCCCCAGCACAGAGGAGAUUUGAGAGGGCCUCCUGGGCCCCUGGGGGACUCCUGCCUCUGGAGAGGACCCUGCCCCCCCCCCCCCCCCGGGAACUGUCUGUUUCUCAAGCCUUGUUUCUCAAAGUUUCAGCGGCGAAAGGCAGGGGAAGUGUAGAAAAACGAAUUUGCAUCCUUGUGACUGUGCCCUGGCCCUCGCCCUCUUGGAGGCAAAUGCAGAGUAGAACCAGAGGUGUGACUUUGGACGGUCCUCCAGCCCCUUCCCCCAGGGACCCCCCACCCCCAGAAUCAUGGCUGGGAACGUCGUGGGAAAGUGCUUCUCUCCAGCUAAACUGACCUUUGUCUCAGGACCUGGGGUAGUUAACACCCAAAGAAAAGGCACCUGAUCUUUUGUUUUUGACCGGUCAUGUUACAUGGGGCAAGAGGGAAGGUGUUUGAUUUCACCUUGGAACUUGUUCUCCUACCUGUUAUGGAGCAGCCACUCCGACAGGGAAGGUUGAAGGGCAACUGAGAGACACCUGCUGGUGUGCAGAGACCAGAAUGUUCCAUAGGUGCUCGCUCCAGAGAAAACCCAGCGGGUGCCCUGGUUCCCCCCACCCCCCUGGGUGCCUGGGAGUCCAGUCAUCCCCGGAAAGCACCCGAGUUUUCUUGCUGGUGGCCAGCUGGGUCCUUGAUCAACCCUUCUGGGCAAUCAUGGCAAUUUUUGUCAAGAGCCAUGCAGAUCUUUGUAAGCUUUGACCCAGUGACCCCACUUUGGGAACGCUCUCUCAGGGAAACAAUAGAAAAUCCGGACAAAAUGUUGUACGGAUGUGGUCAGCUCAGCUUUUUUGGCAAUAGCAAAAUAAAUUGGAGAUACCCAAAGCCUCUGACCAUAACCAAAGACCUGAAUCAUUUCUGCUGUAGCUGCUAAGGGGAAGGCCAGGGAGGCUGGGUGAAGCUGAGCAAAGGCAGUUGUUUAUUGGGGAAAAGGUGAGAGGGAAAUACACCCCGAAAUCAUGUCAGAGUUGUGGCCAGGGGACCAGAAUAUGGAUGUCUUUCUUUUCCCUUCUCUGGUUUAUACCUUUUCUGUGAUGUGGUUAUGGCACUUCUACUGGAAAAGGAAUUCUUUCCUUUCUUUUCUGCUAAGAAACCAAGUGCUCGGCUGUUUCCAGGGAAAGCAAGAAAACCAACGUUGAGCUCCCUUUCUGCAUGGCACUCGAGAAAACAGACCAGUUCCUAAAACGAAGGCCUAGGUCCCAGUGCUCCUUGGCCAGUUAAUAGGAAUAUAAGAGGACAGCUCGCAAAAUCCUCCAGUAUAAUAGCCGCCGUGGAUCAGACCCCCAGACCCGGGCAGAAGGCAUUAUUGUUGCCAUUUAUUAAUACUAAUAAUAAUGGGGUCAUGGGGGAGGGGGAGUCAGGGAGAAGUCACGUGACUCUCUCCACUCUCAGCGCUGUCUCCCAGAGCUGCUGAUGGGGUUCAGGGUGUUUAGAGACCCCAGUACCAGGACCUCUUUUCAAGUCAUUUGGAGAUUAUUUUCUGGGAAAGCUAAGGUGAGGGACAGCUACCAGGGCACAGCAGCAAAUUGUUUUCCAUGUGGGUGACGUUGUCUUUGUAAGUGGGAAGCAGACGUGUAGUCUGGUUUAGAUGGAGGGGGUACUGCCCUGGUGUGUGCUCAGUGGCAGAUCUGGAACCUUCUGUCCGCAGGUGGGCAUCUGAGCUUCCGUCACUUUGGGAGGGCAAAUUUCCAGACUGUCUCUGUGGUAUUUAAAAUGCUAUUGUCGGGAGGUCCCAUUGUGGCUCAGUGGUAACAAACCUGACUCCUAUCCGUGAGGUUGUGGGUUCGAUCCCUGGCCUCGCUCAGUGGGUUAAGGAUCCAGCACUGCCGUGAGCUGUGGUGUAGGCCGGCACCACAGCAAUGCGGGAUCCGAGCCGUGUCCAUGACCUACACCACAGCUCAUGGCAAUGCCGGAUCCCUAACCUACUGAGCGAGGCCAGGAAUUGAACCUGUGUCCUCAUGGAUAGAUACUACUCAGGCUCGUUACCACUGAGCCCUGACGGGAACUCCAAAUAGCCAUUUAUUGAGGGUCAAGAAAAGCCCUUGUUUUCCUCAUUCCCGGUCUCCUCCGCUCUCCUGUUGGGCCUCAAGCCCGGGGCCCUCUGCUCCGAGGCACCUUCUGGAGGAAAUGACAGGCAGUUGUGCGGAAAGAUUGGAGCAGGGAAGCUCCAGCCACCUGCCGAGUCACACCUGCUCCCCCCACCUGCCCCCACAGGGUCCGGGGAGGGAAGUGCAGCCCAGAACAGAGUGGGAAAGCUGCUGGCGAGAGAGGUUUCUGCCUGGGCACAUUAUCUCAUUUAAUCUCCCUCGCCCUCUGCGGGGACGUGUCAUUGUCGUCAAGUGUGGCUCAGGUGUCAAGCAGUUUCAGUAAAAGGUUUCAGCUGCUCCCCAGCCAGGAAACCUUGCCUCUGCUGGGUGUGUGUGACCAGCCCUGCCAGCUGCUCCACGUCCCCUUGCUCCUCUCUGGAGGAGGGGUCAUGAAGCAUCCUUAUAGGAGGGGGACGUCGGGGAAAGGCCUGUCGCCUCCGUGGUCCCUCUGCCUUCCCCGAGGGGUGUGGCUGCGGCCUGGGUGGCAGGGGUCUGUUCUAGGUCUUCCUCCCUGGCCCCCACGCCUCUCUCAGAGCCUGAGACAAGCCCUCUGUUGGAGAAGAGUUGAGAACUAACUCUAGGAACAGGCAUCCAUGGGUAGAUGAGCUGGGAGGAGGCGCUGGCCUGGUUCGAGCCCAGCUGAGUGUUGUCAGCGCUGAAGUAGCCAUGAGCUUCCUGGCGCUCUGUUCUGCUUCACGGUGACAAACACUAUGUCUUGAAACUUAAGAGAAAAAAGAAAAAAAAAAAAGGAAGAGAAAAAAAGUCAGAAAGGGGCUUCUAUGACAGAACGUAAAGUCUAAUGACAACACCUUACAUCCGUAGAGUGCUGUGUGUUUAUGCUGUGGCCUUAUUCCAGUAAACAUCCCCAAGCCCCGGGCUUGGCUUCUCUCUCUUUGAGGUCUGUAGGUCAAGCUCACAGCAGGCCUUGCUCUGAGAGUGCUUGGAGAAUGAAUGCGCAAUUUUUCUUUCUUUUUUUUUUUUUUCUUUUUUCCGAAAAUUGAAGCCCAGAGAGGUUGAGCGAUUUGCUUUAAGGCUGCACAGCCAGCGAGGGCCGGAGUUGGGACUUAGUCCUGGCUCUUCUUCAAGUUCCCUUGGUGGCCUCCUCGCAGAUGCACAUCAGGCUGGCAGAGGAAUUCAGAUGCCAAGAGACACCCCUGUUGAAUGACCAGGGCGUUUACUGAGACCUCAUUCCCCCUUUAUUCUGAAGGCUGGUAUCCUUGUCGUCUCGGUCAGCCUGCUCUUGGGGCCACAUGCACUGUCCUCCCUAACCCCCUGCCUGCUGAAGCAUUUUCUCCUUUGUAUGACACUCUUGAGUCUCCUCCAAAGCUCCUGGAAGCCCCCUGGGGCCAUAUUCUUGAGUAGCUGAAAGUCAGGGUGCAGCCUGUGGCUGCUGCCGUAGCAGCUGGAGCGGAAGGAGGCCAAUGCUGGUCCCCGAGCGAGGCCUGGCUGUCUGCUGGGUGGUCUCAGGUCACGUCUCCUCUGGGCCAUCACACAUUCAUGUUCCAGCCUCUGCUGUUUUCAUCUGUAGACAUGGUCAUUCGUGCAUCAGACACGUCCCAUAGCCCCUGUGCAUGCCGGGUACAGUACAGGGGCUUCUGGUCGUCACAGUAAAUGCUGGCUUGUCCCUUCAGCCGGCUCUGGGUCGUGUCUUACUUGGGUCCUGUGCGCCUCCAGGCUCCGAGGUUUGGGGGGCACUGGGGAGGCUUCCCUGAGAAGGCCUUCUGCACCCCUCUGCCUGCUGCCUUUCGGGGUGCAGGGGGACUCUGUGCUCAGUGUUUUUCUUCUUCUUCUCCUGUUCCUCUUCCCUUCCCCUUGCUCCCCUUUCCCUCCUCCCCUCCCCCUCCGUUUUCCAUUUUCAGCAAGCUUGAAUUAAGCAUGAGCUGUUGCCCAGGUUUGGGUCUAGUGUCCCGAUAGAAAGAUUAGCAGCAUGCCAGCCCCAGUCCCAGAAGGUCCUCGACUGUGGGAGGAGAUGGAUAUAAACACCAACAGAGAGUUCCCAUCGUGGCUCAGUGGGUUAAGAACCCCACAUGGUGUCUGUGAGGAUGCGGGCUUGAUCCCUGGCCUCCCUCCGUGGGUUAAGGAUCCAGCCUUUGCCGUGAGCUGCGGUAUAGGUCACAGGUGUGUCUCGGACCCUGUGUUGCCAUGGCUGUGGCACAGGCCUGCAGCUGCAGCUCUGCUUCAGCCGCUAGCCUGGGAACUUCCCUAUACAGCAGGUGUGGCCUUAAAAGAAAAAAAAAAAAA